GGGGCUGAUUCUGGAUUCGACGGGAUUUGCGAAACCCAAGGUGCAUGCCGAGGGGCGGUUGGCCUCGUAAAAAGCCGCAAAAAAUAGUCGCAAACGACGAAAACUACGCUUUAGCAGCUUAAUAACCUGCUUAGAGCCCUCUCUCCCUAGCCUCCGCUCUUAGGACGGGGAUCAAGAGAGGUCAAACCCAAAAGAGAUCGCGUGGA
Molecule: transfer-messenger RNA, 206 nt
Filed under: Shigella sp.
Lineage: Bacteria; Pseudomonadati; Pseudomonadota; Gammaproteobacteria; Enterobacterales; Enterobacteriaceae
Description: partial transfer-messenger RNA
Rfam family: transfer-messenger RNA
About the family: Bacterial tmRNA, also known as 10Sa RNA or SsrA, is named for its dual tRNA and mRNA-like properties. Its role is to liberate the mRNA from a stalled ribosome.
Source: RNAcentral